GGAAUAUUGGACAAUGGGCGCAAGCCUGAUCCAGCCAUGCCGCGUGAGUGAAGAAGGCAUUAGGGUUGUAAAGCUCUUUCAGCGGGGAAGAUAAUGACGGUACCCGCAGCAGAAGACCCGGCUAACUUCGUGCCAGCCGCCGCGGUAAUACGAAGGGGGCUAGCGUUGUUCGGAUUUACUGGGCGUACAGCGCGGGUAGGCGGGUCGUUAAGUCAGAGGUGAAAUGCCGAGGCUCAACCUCGGAACUGCCUUUGAUACUGGCGACCUGGAGUUCGGGAGAGGUGAGUGGAAUUCCGAGUGUAGAGGUGAAAUUCGUAGAUAUUCGGAGGAACACCAGAAGCGAAGGCGGCUCACUGGCCCGAUACUGACGCUGAGGCGCGAAAGCGUGGGGAGCAAAC
Molecule: ribosomal RNA, 398 nt
Filed under: uncultured bacterium
Lineage: Bacteria
Description: bacterial SSU rRNA
Rfam family: Bacterial small subunit ribosomal RNA
Source: RNAcentral